CCUCUCCUGAGGUGCUGACGACUCUGUGCUGUGUGUGCACCGCUCCUGAACCCACCCACCAAGAUGUCCUGCCAGCAGAACCAGCAGCAGUGCCAGCCCCCUCCCAAGUGCGUCCCCAAGUGCCCCACCCCUAAAUGCCCCCCAAAGUGCCCCCCAGUCUCCCCCUGCUGUGGCUCCAGCUCCGAGGGCUGCUGUGGCCCCAGCUCCGGGGACUGCUGCAGCUCUGGGUGUGGGGGCUGCUGCCUGAGCCACCACAGGCGCCACAGGUCCCACCACUGCAGACCCCACAGGUCUGACUGCUGCAGCCAGCCCUCGGGGGGCUCCGGGUGCUGCGGAGGGGGGAGUGGUCAGUCCUAUGGAGGCGGCUGCUGCUGAAGAUGUCCCUGAGUCUACAGGAUCCAACCUGGGGACAGCACACUGCUGAGGAUACCAUCUUUAUCCUCCUUCAUUGGCUGCCGGGCCUGAGAGCUCCUGUAGAAGACUCUGAACUUGCAAAGACAAUGAGCCCUCCCUGGGGCUCAGAAACUCAAAUUUUCUUCUGAAUCCCCUUCCAUGGCCUUGGAUUCUAUGUCCACCCUCACUUCCCUAGGAAAACUUCCCUAAGUUACUCCUCCUGGUAUUUUCUUAAAGGGUGCUCUCUGACUUUAUUGUAAAACAAUAAAAUGGAUCUGCUCAGCA
This is a long non-coding RNA of Bubalus bubalis (water buffalo), 678 nucleotides long. RefSeq lists it as uncharacterized. Lineage: Eukaryota; Metazoa; Chordata; Mammalia; Artiodactyla; Bovidae. The record is from RefSeq and is a predicted model, not a curated record. The transcript has 2 exons.